UGCUUUAAAUAAUAGCGGGAUUUCCCGAAACGCGUUGUCAAUAUGAGAGUUAUCUCUCUUGUAGUGGUGAUUUAACUACGUGUAGAUCAGCCACAACAAGAAAUCAAAACAACGUAUUCUAAAGAUGUCUGAGUACAACCCCACCCAUGAAUCUUUAAACAUUUUGUUGGAACAGUUAGAGAAGAUGCAUGUUCAUCUACAAAGUAAUUUAAGUCAUUUUGUCAUACAGAUCAAACUAAAAGCCAGGAACUGGAAGGAUAAAAUGUCGGACACUGAAAUGGCAUUUAAAGAUGUAGUUGCCAUGGUAACAUCCGCGAAUGCUACAUUGAUAGAAUAUCUAGAUAUUAUAUCUGGUAAACUUAACAUUUGUAUCUUGCUUUUAGAUUUGGCAGCCUAAAUGCUAUGUUCAGCUUUUGGUUUUAGUUCUUUAAUCUCAGUUUUGAAACAUAAAUUGUGUAACAUAUAACAGAAAAUUUAGGCAUGGCAUUUAGCUAUUACUUUAGAGAAUAGUGUUUAUUUUAUGUUGAGCAUACACAAAG
Physella acuta is the source of this 539-nucleotide long non-coding RNA. RefSeq lists it as uncharacterized. The record is from RefSeq and is a predicted model, not a curated record. NCBI's taxonomy places the organism in Eukaryota, Metazoa, Mollusca, Gastropoda, Physidae.